GUUUUGAGCGAGUUGUUUGAAGAAUAUCCCCACUCAUCUCUUGUGGUUUUUCUCUCUUUGCAGUUUCUGAUUUUCAUGUAGUAAAACUUAUUUACGAGUGUCUGAAUCAAUCAUGGCAAGAAGAUCAUCAAGAAUUCAAGAAGUUGAUGAGAAAAAUGAAGUGAACUGCAUGUGGGGAUUGCUGAGCAUCCUCGAAUCAUGCCAAGGUCGUCCCAGUCAUAAGGUGAUCUCCAAUGGGAGAGCAGCCAACAGAAACAUCAUCG
This 263-nucleotide long non-coding RNA is filed under the name Salvia miltiorrhiza (redroot sage). Its description in RNAcentral is "long non-coding RNA (SMIL_LNC011619)". Lineage: Eukaryota; Viridiplantae; Streptophyta; Magnoliopsida; Lamiales; Lamiaceae. The record is from RNAcentral.